RNAcentral lists this ribosomal RNA (498 nucleotides) under uncultured bacterium. RNAcentral's name for it is "partial 16S ribosomal RNA". It matches the Rfam family "Bacterial small subunit ribosomal RNA", at positions 28 to 507 of the family's 1533-position model. The record is from RNAcentral.
GACGAACGCUGGCGGCGUGCCUAAUACAUGCAAGUCGAACGAGAGCGACCGGUGCUUGCACUGGUCAAUCUAGUGGCGAACGGGUGAGUAACACGUGGGUAACCUGCCCAUCAGAGGGGGAUAACAUCCGGAAACGGAUGCUAAAACCGCAUAGGUCUUCGAGCCGCAUGGCUUGAAGAGGAAAAGAGGCGCAAGCUUCUGCUGAUGGAUGGACCUGCGGUGCAUUAGCUAGUUGGUGAGGUAACGGCUCACCAAGGCCGGGAUGCAUAGCCGACCUGAGAGGGUGAUCGGCCACAUUGGGACUGAGACACGGCCCAAACUCCUACGGGAGGCAGCAGUAGGGAAUCUUCCGCAAUGGACGCAAGUCUGACGGAGCAACGCCGCGUGAGUGAAGAAGGUUUUCGGAUCGUAAAACUCUGUUGUUAGAGAAGAACAAGUGCUAGAGUAACUGUUAGCGCCUUGACGGUAUCUAACCAGAAAGCCACGGCUAACUACGUG